UUGAAGUUCGUCCAUAGUCUUUUGGGACAUGCUUUUAGUUUUAAGCGUGUGUCAGGUAAUAUGCUAGCUGGUUACAGAAGAAAUGUGAUAUGAGGUUAUGGGAUGCAAAGAAUAAUCAAAGGUUUGACGCAUAUGUUAAAUGAGUUUUCUAUGAUGGUGUGCUAUAAUGAAAUGUAACAUCAUAGGUUCAAGGUUCAGUAUAUU
Molecule: long non-coding RNA, 204 nt
Filed under: Lathyrus oleraceus (garden pea)
Lineage: Eukaryota; Viridiplantae; Streptophyta; Magnoliopsida; Fabales; Fabaceae
Description: Pisum sativum (pea) long non-coding RNA (PSAT_LNC027901)
Source: RNAcentral